Molecule: non-coding RNA, 212 nt
Organism: Pelobates cultripes (western spadefoot toad)
Lineage: Eukaryota; Metazoa; Chordata; Amphibia; Anura; Pelobatidae
Source: the annotation of a GenBank genome assembly
CCCCACCCAGACUUCCUGUGGCUGUCCAAUCACAGACUUCCCAAUGCAGCUCAAGGAGAAGUCUUUGCAAGGCAGGUGCUCUGGGAAAUUGCUGUCUGUUGAGUUUAGCUCCACUGAGCUAAACAAACCAGGAAGUAACAGGACUGGUUCUCUGAUUAACAGUCAGUGGGUGUAAUAAUGGUAAUUUUUAAAAGUGCUAAUUUCGAUUAAAA